AGGGGCCGCGCCCGGCGCGACCCCACGGGGGGGAUCCCGCGCCGGCGGCGACACGAGAGGAGCCACCUGCCGAGAGCCCCCGGCGAAGAAGUACUGCCUUCCCUGGACAAGACAGGACUGCGCUCAAGUGCAUCCCAGUGACUUCGGAAAGGUUACCUCCCAAAAUAUAAAUCUUUGGAGGAUCUGCCUCACAGUCCCCAGCUCUGGCAUCCCUGCUGGCAGCGGCCAUGGUGCCUGGAAAGGGGAGAAGAGCCACCAGCCUGGGGUGCACCUCACACUCCAGCCCUCCCCACCGCUUCCCAGUGCAGCCCCCACCAGGGACUCCUCCAAAGGAUGAUGGAAAACAAUAACAUUGGUAAUAGCUGAUCUGGAUGCGCCUCAAAUAUCUGCCCCAUGAUACAAAUGCUUGUGGUUAUCCCACGAACCAUCCUCCCGACAAAUGUUUUGAAUUAUGGGUUUCCAGGAACGAGAUGUC
This 475-nucleotide long non-coding RNA is filed under the name Calidris pugnax (ruff). RNAcentral describes it as "lncRNA (ENSCPUG00000019258.1)". The record is from RNAcentral. Lineage: Eukaryota; Metazoa; Chordata; Aves; Charadriiformes; Scolopacidae.